RNAcentral lists this small RNA (88 nucleotides) under Salmonella enterica. RNAcentral's name for it is "partial RtT sRNA". It matches the Rfam family "RtT RNA", at positions 44 to 130 of the family's 130-position model. From Rfam's summary of the family: This family represents a bacterial cis-regulatory element known as RtT RNA. Lineage: Bacteria; Pseudomonadati; Pseudomonadota; Gammaproteobacteria; Enterobacterales; Enterobacteriaceae. The record is from RNAcentral.
CGAUUCGAGCGCAGCGAGAAAGCGUUGCCGCAGGCAACGACCCGAAGGGCGAAGCGCGCAGCGCUGAGUAAUCCUUCCCCCACCACCA